CCUACGGGAGGCAGCAGUGAGGAAUAUUGGUCAAUGGGCUUACGCCUGAACCAGCCAAGUCGCGUGAGGGAAGACUGCCCUAUGGGUUGUAAACCUCUUUUGUCAGGGAGUAACGCCGGCUACGCGUAGCCGGACUCAUAGUACCUGCAGAAAAAGCAUCGGCUACCUCCGUCCCAGCGGCCGGGGUAAUACGGAGAUUGGGAGGUUUAUCCGGUUUUAUUGGGUUUAAAGGGUGCGUGGGCGGAAUGCCAAGUCAGGGGUAAAAUCGUGGGCCUCAACCUCGAUUCGCCGUUGAAACUGGCGUGCUUGAGUGGGCGAGAGGUAGGCGGAAUGCGUGGUGUAGCGGUGAAAUGCAUAGAUAUCACGCAGAACUCCGAUUGCGAAGGCAGCAUGCCGGCGCCCGACUGACGCUGAAGCACGAAAGCGUGGGUAUCGAACAGGAUUAGAUACCCUGGUAGUC
RNAcentral lists this ribosomal RNA (460 nucleotides) under uncultured bacterium. RNAcentral's name for it is "partial 16S ribosomal RNA". It matches the Rfam family "Bacterial small subunit ribosomal RNA", at positions 338 to 795 of the family's 1533-position model. The record is from RNAcentral.